AAAAGGUGGCUAUGCUACCGCUUUUGGAUGGGCCCGCGGCGCAUUAGCUAGUUGGUGGGGUAAAGGCUUACCAAGGCAAUGAUGCGUAGCCGAACUGAGAGGUUGAUCGGCCACAUUGGGACUGAGACACGGCCCAAACUCCUACGGGAGGCAGCAGUAGGGAAUCUUCCACAAUGGGCGAAAGCCUGAUGGAGCAACGCCGCGUGGGUGAAGAAGGUCUUCGGAUCGUAAAACCCUGUUGUUAGAGAAGAAAGUGCGUGAGAGUAACUGUUCACGUUUCGACGGUAUCUAACCAGAAAGCCACGGCUAACUACGUGCCAGCAGCCGCGGUAAUACGUAGGUGGCAAGCGUUAUCCGGAUUUAUUGGGCGUAAAGGGAACGCAGGCGGUCUUUUAAGUCUGAUGUGAAAGCCUUCGGCUUAACCGGAGUAGUGCAUUGGAAACUGGGAGACUUGAGUGCAGAAGAGGAGAGUGGAACUCCAUGUGUAGCGGUGAAAUGCGUAGAUAUAUGGAAGAACACCAGUGGCGAAAGCGGCUCUCUGGCCUGUAACUGACGCUGAGGUUCGAAAGCGUGGGUAGCAAACAGGAUUAGAUACCCUGGUAGUCCACGCCGU
This 613-nucleotide ribosomal RNA is filed under the name uncultured bacterium. RNAcentral describes it as "bacterial SSU rRNA". It matches the Rfam family "Bacterial small subunit ribosomal RNA", at positions 202 to 803 of the family's 1533-position model. The record is from RNAcentral.